AGGUUUACCUGUGUGACUGCGUACCUUUUGUAUAAUGGGUCAGCGACUUAUAUUCUGUAGCAAGGUUAACCGUAUAGGGGAGCCGGAGGGAAACCGAGUCUUAAUUGGGCGUUAAGUUGCAGGGUAUAGACCCGAAACCCGGUGAUCUAGCCAUGGGCAGGUUGAAGGUUGGGUAACACUAACUGGAGGACCGAACCGACUAAUGUUGAAAAAUUAGCGGAUGACCUGUGGCUGGGGGUGAAAGGCCAAUCAAACCGGGAGAUAGCUGGUUCUCCCCGAAAGCUAUUUAGGUAGCGCCUCGUGAAUUCAUCUCCGGGGGUAGAGCACUGUUUCGGCUAGGGGGCCAUCCCGGCUUACCAACCCGAUGCAAACUGCGAAUACCGGAGAAUGUUAUCACGGGAGACACACGGCGGGUGCUAACGUCCGUCGUGAAGAGGGAAACAACCCAGACCGCCAGCUAAGGUCCCAAAGUCAUGGUUAAGUGGGAAACGAUGUGGGAAGGCCCAGACAGCCAGGAUGUUGGCUUAGAAGCAGCCAUCAUUUAAAGAAAGCGUAAUAGCUCACUGGUCGAGUCGGCCUGCGCGGAAGAUGUAACGGGGCUAAACCAUGCACCGAAGCUGCGGCAGCGACGCU
RNAcentral lists this ribosomal RNA (633 nucleotides) under Salmonella enterica subsp. enterica serovar Paratyphi B var. L(+) tartrate +. Its description in RNAcentral is "partial 23S ribosomal RNA". It matches the Rfam family "Bacterial large subunit ribosomal RNA", at positions 581 to 1215 of the family's 2925-position model. Lineage: Bacteria; Pseudomonadati; Pseudomonadota; Gammaproteobacteria; Enterobacterales; Enterobacteriaceae. The record is from RNAcentral.